This is an RNA transcript of Peromyscus californicus insignis, 1823 nucleotides long. RefSeq lists it as uncharacterized. The record is from RefSeq and is a predicted model, not a curated record. Lineage: Eukaryota; Metazoa; Chordata; Mammalia; Rodentia; Cricetidae. The transcript is spliced from 3 exons.
GUGUCUCCUGAAGAUAUGUAGAGUGGCAUUACUCUUGGCCUCCGCUUAUAUACUGUCCUGCGUCUGGUUAUCUCGAAUGAGCGAUGUCCCUGGGCCUGGUUAUCAGACCCUGGGUUGGUGUAGUGGGGUUCCCAACGAAGCUGUUUUUCUUUGUCUAAAACACAUUUUUUCACUAUUCUCAUCCCAGGUGGAGAACUGGCUUUGUUGGCCACAGAGGAGAGACGAUGGGCCUGUACCCUGAUCCAUCCAUAUGGUGGCUGUGUACCCCAAGUUCCACUAUGUCAGGAAUCACAGGCCCAGAAGCUCAGAUGGCAAUUCUGGGGUCUCCCAGCAGCACUGGCCAAGGGGGAGAGGUGUGCCACCGGCCACUGGUUCUUCAGCUGAUCCUGUUUCCUCAGACUGGAUGACUCUCAGCUGAACUGUGCUGCUGAAAAGCCUGAAUGCUUAACCAGAUUCUAGUUCCUGGGCCUCACGCCUUAAAUACCUUUCUGCUUCCUGCCAUCACUUCCUGGGACUAAAGGGUCCACAGAGCCAGAAAUUCUCACUCCAGGAGAUUCGCCCUGAGGACGGAAUGUGUGGGCAAGGACCAGUCACACAGCACCAUGACCUGGAAAAGGGCCAACUCACUCCCUGCAGCCAGGGCUCCAGGUAAAACAUUCCCCUAGCAUGCCUGUUGAGUUCAAGGUCAUCUUAAGCUAGUUAGUUAAGUUUGAGGCCAGCCUGGGCUAAUUGAAACCCUGUCUCAAAACAAAACUUAAAAAAAUAAUAAAACGAAAUAAAAAACCCUGGGCCGUCUUUGGUGGGUGAGCCUCGGGGUGUUUGUUAGCGACCUUGGCCAGCCUCGAGGCACAGAUGGAAUCACGGGUCUGAAGCCUCCUGGUUCCUAGGCCGCUGGCCUGCUGCGGGUGCCCGGGUGUCACUCAUUCUGCGGUGAUAGCGGAUAGGGGAGGGAGUGCAUUUCACCAGAUGGCUUCAGAAUUCAUUUUCUGAGAUGCAACCGGGCUUGUUUAGGAAAAUGCCUUAAUUAGUCCUGGGGGUGGCGAGGGAGGCCCGGAGGACACGAGAUGAAAAGGGGCCGCAAAGACACAGCCAGCUUCCUCCACAGGAGAGCACAGCCUGGCACACAGCUCGCAAAGCCCUGAGAGGCGGCGGGGACCAGAGAUCAAGAGCCAGGGACAGAUGGGGUGUUACACGACCUUCAGUCUGGGCCCUGGGGCUGCGAUGUGGGGACGGGGAGACCUUGUCUGAGCUGGACCGGUCUAGAAAGAAGACAGAGACAGACGUGACUCGGCGCCCUGCCGGAGCCAGCCCAGGGGUGACACCCACCGGUGUGUGACACACGCCUGUCUCCCGCAAGGUCCACUGGGGGGAGGGAGCAUCCCGUGUGGAUUCCUGUUGCUGCUGCCUUCCACUCUCUAGUGCUGUGACGCAACUGUCCUACCAUGCCUGGUGUACGUGGAGCCUAGGAUGGACCCCAGAGCUUUGUAUAUGUCAGGCGAGGGCUCUGUCUGCUGAGCCCAGGCUCAGCCUUUGUUUUGUUUGAGACAAGGUCUCAUAUAACCCAGAUUAAUCUUUUUUUUUUUUUUUUUUUUUUUUUUUGGUUUUUCGAGACAGGGUUUCUCCGUGUAGUUUUGGUACUUGUCCUGGAUCUCACUCUGUAGACCAGGCUGACCUCGAACUCACAGAGAUCCGCCUGGCUCUGCCUCCCGAGUGCUGGGAUUAAAUGCGUGCACCACCACUGCCUGGCUAAUCCAAAUCUUUUGAGCUGGGAAAACCCACCUCCAAUCUGUCUCUAAAUUAUUCUAAUAAAUCCCCUUUCUCUA